UACGGAGGGAGCAAGCGUUAUCCGGAUUCACUGGGUUUAAAGGGUGCGUAGGUGGGCUAGUAAGUCCGUGGUGAAAUCUCCAAGCUUAACUUGGAAACUGCCGUGGAUACUAUUAGUCUUGAAUAUUGUGGAGGUAAGCGGAAUAUGUCAUGUAGCGGUGAAAUGCUUAGAUAUGACAUAGAACACCGAUAGCGAAGGCAGCUUGCUACACAAUCAUUGACACUGAGGCACGAAAGCGUGGGGAUCAAACAGG
This 253-nucleotide ribosomal RNA is filed under the name uncultured bacterium. Its description in RNAcentral is "partial 16S ribosomal RNA". It matches the Rfam family "Bacterial small subunit ribosomal RNA", at positions 524 to 776 of the family's 1533-position model. The record is from RNAcentral.